CGAUUUUGGUCUUAUCUUCCUGAGGUAGCAAGGAAGCAGACUGAAGAUUGAAAAUCUAUUUCCCUAAAGCAGUUGCGGAGCAAAUUGAGGAUGACGAAUCUUGUCUCUAUGUAUCAGUAAUAGAGCAGAUUUAAGUCACUAGUCCUAUUUCCUUAAAGUUACAGUCAAAAUUCAGCAAAACCGGGCAAAAUUGACCCUAUUUAAAGUUUUUGUUGUAUUCUCAUUACACGAUAAUGAGCAAAGAGGGGCAGCUGUAACAAGUCCAUUUCGCCUAGGCCCACAUAAAAAACCAAAAUCAUAAAUAAAACAAAAAAUAAUAAAUUAAUUGUCCUAAGUCUGUUCACAAAUAAAAGCCCAAAUUUAUUAAUAGUCCAAGUCUUUUAAAUAAAGCCCAAUUUCCAAUCUAAAUAAAAUAAGCCCGAUUGGCCCAGCACAUUUGGAGUCUCUGGAAACCCUUGCACUGCAGCCUCAACAACGGCUUCUUCAUUGCUCCGUACGACAUUAGAACCUGCGAGAAGGAAGAAAAUAGCAAUAAUCUAAUCCAGUAAAUUGUAUAGCUGGAAAAAGAAAAUAAUUUUGGAUUUCUUUAUUAUUUCAUUAGAUUUGGCUAUAAAAGCCAAAUGAAAAUACUGUAAAAGGGAUCUUCUUUUCCUAGAAAGAUACCCGCAUAUUGAAAAAGCAAUAGAGAAAAAAAUCAAAAAAGGUGAUUCAAGUUUUUAAUUUCUUUCUUUUAAUUUUGCGAUCUUGUUUUUUUUCCUUUUGGAAUAUUUUUUUUCCCUUUUCUUUUCUCUUAUAUUUUGCAUGAAGUGAAUAAAGAAAGAGGAGUACUUACCUCUAGCCUCCAAUUGCAUCUCUUCUGUGCAUGGUCGGCCACCAAGCUUGAUGGUGGUUCGGCGAUGUCCCCGAAUUGAAGCCCUAACAUUUGAUCUGUUGUUUGAGAAAAUGGCAGAUUGUCAUUCUUUUUUUUUCCCUUUAAUUUUGAUUGCAAAAUGGAACGGUGCCGUGUUGGGGGGAGGGAAUGAGAUCCGUGCGAUCCAUGCCCUUUUGCUUAAAACGAGGAAUUUGCGCGCUAGGUCCUCCACAUUCGCGCGAGUCUUCGAUUGCACCUUAUGCG
Molecule: long non-coding RNA, 1114 nt
Filed under: Gossypium barbadense (sea-island cotton)
Lineage: Eukaryota; Viridiplantae; Streptophyta; Magnoliopsida; Malvales; Malvaceae
Description: long non-coding RNA (GBAR_LNC000151)
Source: RNAcentral